Long non-coding RNA from Megalobrama amblycephala (Wuchang bream), 2147 nucleotides. RefSeq lists it as uncharacterized. The record is from RefSeq and is a predicted model, not a curated record. Lineage: Eukaryota; Metazoa; Chordata; Actinopteri; Cypriniformes; Xenocyprididae. The transcript has 3 exons.
GAACACUAGCUUGACACUACAGCACUGAAAUCAGUGACAGAAACUCGAGCGCAGUUUACCAUCCGCUCCACUAGGGGGCGCGAGCGUGUUUCACUGUCAGCGCGACACCUUUGGGUCCUUGACAACAACGACGCUUGAUGACAGUCGCUACGACACGUGCAGAUGACAGCUAUUAUCACACAACUGCACAUAUUCCAGCAAAUAAACCGACUCACAGCGCGAUAAAAUGCGGGAAUCGAGUGUCAUUAACUCCUCGAAUAAGGGAUGUUUGGACACCCAGUCAUCAGAAGCAGAGCUGUAGGAAGUGUGGACAGACAUUGACUGUAAUGAUGGACUUCUGCUGAUGGACAGACAGAAAAGUAUAACCCCUGCUGGACAUCUUACCGGGGCUCGGGGGGGGGACCCGACUCAUCCCCGCCCCUUCACGCUCACACCAUUCACUCAUAUCGCUGAGAUCUGGCUGGGAUUGAACCAGCAACCUCUGAACCCCUGAGGCAGCGCUCUUAACCUGUGAGCCACAGAUCUCAUGUCUGAACAUGUGCAGGAACUUAUAUUUCACUGUUUCCUGACCUGUGAUUUACAAUAAACUAGUUCAAGUUCUCUGGUGUGUGUUUGUCCUGAUUGAGGUGGGAUUUGAACCCAAGCCUCCAUCGCAGUCUCACCACCAGAGAACGUGUGUUUAGUCACUCACACCACUGUGACUUUCACACUGAGUGCUGGUGUUUGGGCCAUUUUGUUGGAAAUAAUGCCAACAAUUUAAUGUUAGCAGUAGUGGGAUUUGAACCCAAGUCUCCAUCGCGGUCUCAUCACCAGAGAACGUGUGUUUAGCCACUUGCGCCACUGUGACUUUCACUCUGAAUUCUGGCAUUUGGCCCACUUUAUUGGAACUAAUGCCAACAAUUUAAUGAUAGUAAUAGUGGGAUUUGAACCCAAGCCUCUGUCACAGUCUCACCACCAGAGAACGUGUUUAGCCACUGUGAGUUUCACACUGAGCGUUGGCGUUUGGGCCUCUUUGUUGGAUAUAAUGCCAACAAUUUAAUAUAGGCAAUAGUGGGGUUUGAACCCAAACCUCCGUCACAGUCUCGUCACCAGAGAACAUGUGUUUAGCCACUUGUGCCACUGUGACUUUCACACUGAGUGCUGGUGUUUGGGCCAUUUUGUUGGAAAUAAUGCCAACAAUUUCACAUAAGCAAUAGUGGGAUUUGAUCUCAGGUCGUUCUCAUACAAUCAGCAGUUAAUCGUCCACUGAGCCACUGAGCCUGUGACAAUCAUGAGAAGUUAUUCAUAGAUUUAAUUACCUUUAGCACUUUUUUUAUGUGUAAUGCAGAUGGUGUAUUUGUGUUCUUGGCUUUGUCAGAUUUUACUGGCUCAAGAACAUGAAUCACUUCAUAAUUUCCACCACAUUAUCUGAGUGAAAUGAGUGACUGUAUGUAAAUAUAAUGUACACACACUCAUGGGAAUUUUCAUUAAGAUCUUUAUUCAUUCUUUACAUGUCAAACUCAAACUGAAACACACACAUGACUAGUAAACAGCAUUUAUUUAUUCAGGUAAAUAGAUUUGAUAUGAAUUAGAAACACAGAGAUCAUCACACCUGCCUGGAAGUUUCUAGUAAAGCUGAAGACCUUGAUUAGCUGCUUCAGGUGUUUGUAAUGAGGUUGGAGCUAAACUCAGGAAAGUGGAUCACCAGGAGCAGGAUUGGACAGACAGUCCUGCUUUAUUUCUUUUCUUCAUAUAUGAAUGCAGGUACACUUAUCGUCCACAAGGCGGCGCUGACACUGAUCUGAUCUCAUGUGUGUGCCUGUUAUAUUAAUGAGUAAAAACACCAUUAAAUGUUUUAGCAGAUACAUAAUUGGUUUAACUGUGAACGAUAAACAUCACUUAAAGACAAAAACAAAUGAACCUGACACAGACAAACGGAUCUUUUGUCAUGCGUAUUUUGUUUAUGCUUGAGGCCAGUGCCUUUCAGCAGAUCUGUCUUACCCAUCAGAUGAGAGCUGAUCUGACUCAGAUCCUGGGAAAAUCAUUAGUUUUCAAAAAUAUGAGAAUUAACUUUCUCACGUAUGUCUGGCCACAAAGUUGACUUGACCAGAACACAUUUAGGUAGGUUAGCUUGACACUACAAUGCAUGCAGCGGACAAAUGCGACCU